RNAcentral lists this ribosomal RNA (462 nucleotides) under uncultured bacterium. RNAcentral describes it as "partial 16S ribosomal RNA". It matches the Rfam family "Bacterial small subunit ribosomal RNA", at positions 338 to 795 of the family's 1533-position model. The record is from RNAcentral.
CCUACGGGAGGCAGCAGUGAGGAAUAUUGGUCAAUGGACGCAAGUCUGAACCAGCCAAGUAGCGUGCAGGAUGACGGCCCUCCGGGUUGUAAACUGCUUUUAGUUGGGAAUAAAAGGGGGCUCGUGAGCCCCGUAUUGUAUGUACCAUCAGAAAAAGCAUCGGCUAACUCCGGGCCAGCAGCCGCGGUAAUACGGAGGAUGCGAGCGUUAUCCGGAUUUAUUGGGUUUAAAGGGAGCGUAGAUGGGUUGUUAAGUCAGUUGUGAAAGUUUGCGGCUCAACCGUAAAAUUGCAAUUGAUACUGGCAGUCUUGAGUACAGUUGAGGUAGGCGGAAUUCGUGGUGUAGCGGUGAAAUGCUUAGAUAUCACGAAGAACUCCGAUUGCGAAGGCAAGUGUCCGGGGUGCAACUGACGCUGAGGCUCGAAAGUGCGGGUAUCAAACAGGAUUAGAUACCCGAGUAGUC